This 487-nucleotide long non-coding RNA is filed under the name Physcomitrium patens. RNAcentral describes it as "long non-coding RNA (PPAT_LNC007809)". Lineage: Eukaryota; Viridiplantae; Streptophyta; Bryopsida; Funariales; Funariaceae. The record is from RNAcentral.
GGGCCUCACAUUUUCCUCAAUCAGACUGUGGUUUUUUAUGAUUUGUAAGUGAAUAUUUUUUCAUCACAUAACUCUUAUUAUUAGCUUUUCAACAAGAUAAGGUAUUUCUAAUUUGGAGUUGAACCGAAAUUUUUUGGUAUAUUUUUGAGUAGAAGAGGGUACCUACCUUGGUAAUUUUAAUAUCCAACUUUGAAAAGACAUUCCUCAAUGCAAAUUAAUGGAAUAAUUUUGAAAUUUUUAGAAUAAAAGAAUAUUUAAAUUGAGCUUCUAUUAGAAUAAAUUUCAUUAAAUUUAAAGCAAUGUUUAAUUUUUAACAAAGUUUUAAAUGAAGGAGGAUCGGCUGUAGUGGCAAGCCCAAUGACCCAACUUUGAAGAAGCAUUGCUCACAGCUCAGGUGAUUGCCAUGAAAAUUUUGAAGCAAGAGCGCCUUGAAGUUAAAUUUCUAACACAAUAAAAAUCAUUAGAUUUAGAGCUAAUUUGGAUUUUU